CCCCUAGACGUUCUGGGCUGCACGCGCGCUACAAUAAUACGCACAGCGAGUAUCACCGAGCUCGAAAGGGCAAGGUAAACAAUAGAAAAGGUACUGUAAUGGUUAUAGAUCCUUGUAAUUAUUGAUCUUCAACGAGGAAUUCCUAGUAAGUAUGUGUCAUCAUCACGCACUGAUUACGUCCCUGCCCUUUGUACACAACGCCCGUCGCUCCUACCGAUUGGGUGAGCCGAUGAAACUCUCGGAUGUAGGCUAUUCAUAGCCCGCAGAAGAGAUUUGAAUCGUAGCGCUUAGAGGAAGGAGAAGUCGUAACA
Molecule: ribosomal RNA, 311 nt
Filed under: uncultured eukaryote
Lineage: Eukaryota
Description: partial 18S ribosomal RNA
Rfam family: Eukaryotic small subunit ribosomal RNA
Source: RNAcentral